GCGCGCGGCGUACCGGUUCACGGUACCGGCGGUCUUCGUGCAGGACCAGGUCGACAUGGGCCCACGGGCGAGCCUGUCGGCCAGCGCGCG
RNAcentral lists this transfer RNA (90 nucleotides) under Luteitalea sp. TBR-22. RNAcentral describes it as "Vicinamibacteria bacterium TBR-22 tRNA-Lys". Lineage: Bacteria; Pseudomonadati; Acidobacteriota; Vicinamibacteria; Vicinamibacterales; Vicinamibacteraceae. The record is from RNAcentral.